CAGUAGCCGCGGGAAUACGUAGGUGGCAAGCGUUGUCCGGAAUUAUUGGGCGUAAAGGGCUCGCAGGCGGUUUCUUAAGUCUGAUGUGAAAGCCCCCGGCUCAACCGGGGAGGGUCAUUGGAAACUGGGAAACUUGAGUGCAGAAGAGGAGAGUGGAAUUCCACGUGUAGCGGUGAAAUGCGUAGAGAUGUGGAGGAACACCAGUGGCGAAGGCGACUCUCUGGUCUGUAACUGACGCUGAGGAGCGAAGCGUGGGGAGCGAACAGGAUUAGAUACCCGAGUAGUCCCUGUCUCUUAUACA
Molecule: ribosomal RNA, 301 nt
Filed under: uncultured bacterium
Lineage: Bacteria
Description: partial 16S ribosomal RNA
Rfam family: Bacterial small subunit ribosomal RNA
Source: RNAcentral